Molecule: ribosomal RNA, 538 nt
Filed under: Phoma sp.
Lineage: Eukaryota; Fungi; Ascomycota; Dothideomycetes; Pleosporales; Didymellaceae
Description: eukaryotic LSU rRNA
Rfam family: 5.8S ribosomal RNA (bases 172-325)
Source: RNAcentral
UUUCCGUAGGUGAACCUGCGGAAGGAUCAUUACCUAGAGUUGUAGGCUUUGCCUGCUAUCUCUUACCCAUGUCUUUUAAGUACCUUCGUUUCCUCGGCGGGUUCGCCCGCCGAUUGGACAAUUUAAACCAUUUGCAGUUGCAAUCAGCGUCUGAAAAAACUUAAUAGUUACAACUUUCAACAACGGAUCUCUUGGUUCUGGCAUCGAUGAAGAACGCAGCGAAAUGCGAUAAGUAGUGUGAAUUGCAGAAUUCAGUGAAUCAUCGAAUCUUUGAACGCACAUUGCGCCCCUUGGUAUUCCAUGGGGCAUGCCUGUUCGAGCGUCAUUUGUACCUUCAAGCUCUGCUUGGUGUUGGGUGUUUGUCUCGCCUCUGCGUGUAGACUCGCCUCAAAACAAUUGGCAGCCGGCGUAUUGAUUUCGGAGCGCAGUACAUCUCGCGCUUUGCACUCAUAACGACGACGUCCAAAAGUACAUUUUUACACUCUUGACCUCGGAUCAGGUAGGGAUACCCGCUGAACUUAAGCAUAUCAAUAAGCGG